This 11187-nucleotide long non-coding RNA is filed under the name Capsicum annuum. RNAcentral's name for it is "long non-coding RNA (CANN_LNC001722)". The record is from RNAcentral. Lineage: Eukaryota; Viridiplantae; Streptophyta; Magnoliopsida; Solanales; Solanaceae.
CCCAAGCCUAUAUUACAAGCCAUUCAUAGUCCUGUAGUGAUCAUAAUCCAACUAUCUGAAAAGCUAAGGCAUAAAAAAUAAGGGCAUGACUAUGGUAUUUCACGCACACUGCUUGAACGUCUUUUCAAGAAUGAGUUAUUUUAUUUAGUUCAUAUGUUGAUAUUCAUUGUUAUAAUCUAAGUGUAUGGGACUUUUUUGUUGUGAAAGUACAAGGGUUGCAUUGUUAAGUGUUUCUUUGGAUAAUGUUAUUUAUGUAUGUGCUUGGUUGUUUAUACAUAAUCUGAUGCCGCCACUGAACCUUUUUACAUCAUGGUAAUGUGUUGCAUAUAUAUGCACAGUGGGUUUGGAUUUUUGUUUAGGAAGGGGAUGAAGUUUUGUGCUAAAAAUUAUGAAUUGACUGCCAUAAGAAUUGUAGUUUUCUCUAAAUUAAGCAUUAUAUGUGUCUAGUUUGUUUUAUUUACCCGAGGACAUGUAAAUAGUCUAAAUUAAGGGUGUUGAUGUGUUAUAGAUUUGUGACACUUCAGAUGCUUAAAAUAAGUUUAUUUGGAAAAUCAUAGGUAUUUAUAUAUAGAUAUGUUGUGUUUGGUGUAGUUUUGUAGGAAAACAGGAUUGGGCGUGAUUGUAAUGGAAAACAAGAAUACACAUAAGUAUCAAAAAAUCACAAAAAGAAAUGAGUUGAUGGGUAAUAAUAUAACUCAUUUCCUUAGUUGUUAUCAGUACAAUAGAGUCUAGGAUAUUUAGAGAAGGGGUGACUACAUGCAUGGGACAACCCAUUAGGAUGGCCAAUGAAUUGUAGAAAAUAUUUUUUCUAAGAAAUAUGCUAAGGUCUUGAAGAUAUCAAGUUGAUGCUAGUGGUGAUAAUGGUAGCCUAUAACUCGUAGUGCUACAUGAUGAUUCAUAGCCUAGAAGCCAUUGGAAGGACAAAACACUUAAAACCAUAGAGAAGUUGAAGGAAAGGCAGGUUACAAGAGGACGCUACAGGUUGUCAUGUCUCUUGAUGAGUUUUCUUGAGUAGCCAUAUUUUACAGCUAAGGAAAAUUACUGACAACAUAUGAAAGGGCAUACUAGAGAUGUGUUAGCCAAUAAUUUUUACAAUCACGUGAUGAGUCAUUGCUAGUAGAGGAAGGAACAUACCCUGACAAGGAAGAAAGACUGACAAUGAGUGAUAGCCAGUCCAUACAACUCAUCUUCAAGGACCUAAUCACUACCCACUUUGUAAUUCUAUUUUGUUUUGAGAGGUUUCAUUGUGUCUACAAAUACUCUUAUUUUAUUUCUUUUUUAAGGUUACAUAAUUAAUACAUUCAUAAUAUCAUAUAGUAUAACUCUAAGACAUAUAGAUGGAAUUGUAUAAAUAUCAUUUCUAGGUUUUUCAUUAAAUUUGAGAUUUUGGAGUUUAAUAACUCGAGUAAGUAAGAAAUUAUGUUUUUAUCUAUGAAUUCUUGUUGUGUGCUUACAAUCAUGAGUAGCUAAACACCAUAAAUAGGAUUGUGGGAACCUUGAUUAAAUAACAACACGGGUUAAGUGCAAAGUCAUUCUAGACGGGUGUGCUUAUAGGCAUUUCUAUUUCCUUCAUAUUAAUCGUUUAAUAAUGGUUGGAAAAGUUAGGAACUCACAUUUAAUAUAGACUUACUCUAUUGAGUAGUGUAGAUAGGGAAAAACAGAUAAGAAUAGAGAUUUAAAGAUACCAAUCUUUAUUUGAUUAACUUAAGACUUAACUGAGAUAGUUAAUCUGAGAUCACUGAACAAGGUUUAGUAUACGAUGCUCUAAGUUUGAGUGGAGCUGAGUGAAAUUCAUUUAACCAAUAUUAAGAGAUGAUUAUAUGAUACAGAUUUUGUUAGUUUUUUCAUAAAAGGCAUUGGGAUAGUCUGCUAGCAUGAUGAAACACACUGGUUUUUGGCCCUUAGAAAUUUACUAAGCAUUGAGCUCAUGUGGGUAUGGGUUGGGUGACCUAACUCAUAAGGUUUUUAGUGAGUGAUGGUUAGGUUUUUAUUGUGGUUACGACUUGGUGGGUAUGGGUCAUAUGGUUUGGUGACAAGUUAUUAGGUUGAUCCUUACUUAAUUUGAAACUUUGUAACUUAACUUGGCUCUGAGUAUGAAUGGCUCACUAAGAGUCAUGAGGAUGGGGUAUAAGUGGUAUAAUCUAGUCAUAUGUCGUCCAGUGUUAACCCCUUUGUAUUGUGUCUUUGGUUUGACUGGACCAUAUGAGUCAUAUGGUCUGGUCACGAGUUGGGGAAAUGAGUCUUAUGGUGUACAGUGUGUAGGUGUCUAACCUUCAGUUCUAGUUAUGAUUGGAUGGUACUAAUCGUAUGUUGAGGUGACUAGUUGGGUGGUCAACUUGUACCUACCUACAGUGAUUUUAUGAUUUUAAGUUGGGGGUAUUCUAGAAAUUUCCCCUAAUAACUCCUUUUGAUCCCAAUACAUAAAAUACCUUUUGGGACUUCAUUAACCUAUUAUUCUCAAUCAAACACUCUUAAAAGUCUCUUAAAAUCUCUCUCAAGCUCUUAGCUCAAGAAAAGGAUAGGGUUUCUACAAGGCAAUCAAUUAGGGGAUUUCAAGAGUGAUUCUCUUUAUCUUUUUUAGUGUCUAAAGAAUGUUACUCCUUCCUCAUUGUUAGUUAAAGUAAAAGCAUGUUUUAAUGAAUGGUUUUGAUGGUAUUAUUGUGGUAUUAUUUUUUUUUUUUUGAAAUAGAUGUUGGGGGUUUAGGUUUUUUAUGGUUGGAUAAUGUUUUCUCAUGUUUUACUUGUGGUUUAUCAUGUUAUAAUUAUUGUUUGAACAUGAAGUUUCAUGGGAAUGAUUGAUACUUAUUUUCCAUUCUGGAAACUCUACGCCCAUAACAUGUUUGUUAAAAUGCCAUGAAAAUAAUUUUGUCACAUAGUUUGACUAUUCUUUGAACCUUUGUAUUACAUAGUAUGGUAAUGGAACUUAAAAUGGUUUGGAUGGUUUUAAAAGGAUUGUAAAGGCAUUGUUGGCCAUGGGGUUGGUUUAAUUAGAAACUUUAGAGUCAAAUUGGUUUUAUGGCUUUGGUAUGGCUUAAAUAGAAAGACUUGCAAGCUCUAAUUUUGGUAUGAUGAUACCAAUGGUUAAUGCAUAAUUAAAAACACUCCUUGGUAAAUGGUUUUUUAUGUGUAAAUGGUUUUAAUUUGUGCUUAAAGUAGUAUGUAUCAGCAAAGCCAUAGAAGGUGGAGGUCCUGAGGGGACAAAAACUGGAAACUCAUGUUUUCCCAUGUGAGGUAUCGUCUUGAUGAUCGUGUACAUUAUGUCAAACUUAUAUUUUUGGAGAUGUACCUAUCAUCUCAGGUUUUUCUCCAGUUCAUGCAGCUAACACACACAAAGGUCUUUUCUAUAAGGGAAGCUGAACACAUAUAGCCCAUGGGUGGAUUUAGGAUAGCAAAGCUACACAGCCCAAGUUAAAGGUUUUAAAUAAAUGCUAAACCUGGUUCCCUUUCCUGGCAUAGUAUAUAUAUAGAUAUAGAUGUGCGUGUGUGUAUGUAUAUAUAUGUAUAUAUGAUUGUAUAUGAUUAUUUACUUUGGUUUUGAAUAAUGACAUUAUUUUAUCCAAAUUUCUAAGUAUAUGCUAGCAUUCAUUUCACUAACCGUCUUUAAGUUUUAUAUUCCCACACGAUGCAGAUAUCGACUGUACUACUAUUCCUCCUACUCAGUGACGUAGAUUUAGGGACAACUUUGAGUCAUACUAAAGUAGUGAGCUUCCAUACUCUAGAAGGCUCCAUUUAAUGCUAUAGACUUUUUUAUUUUUUUAUUUCUUUUGUUGGUUGUCUAUGGCCGAGGGCAUUUCCCAAUUGGAUGUUAUUUCUGGUUAGAGGCUUUAUGGGACUACUAUAGACAUAGGCAGUGUUGGUAUUGGUGUUAGCCUUGGUAUUGGAAUUGGAAUUAAGGUUGGCAGCGGUUGAAUAUUUAGUUGAGGUUGUUAAUUAUGAUCAUGGACUUUAUUUAAUAUCUUUUAGUUAUUAUUGUUCUAUUUUGUUAUAUGUUUAAACUUUAUCCAACAUAUGGUGAAGGGCGGUUAUCAUUGGGUAUUAGGGGUAGUCUCUGGUCCUAAGUAGACUUGGGACACCCAGCAUAACUAGGCCCUGGUAUGAGUUAUGUUAGAUUGGUAUUAGAGCCCAAGGUUCAUGGCUAAUUGGGAAUCCACAAAGCCAUCUCAAAUAGAGUCUCUUUUAAGGGUGUGAAGCACACUACACUCAUAAGGGAAAGGCUACGAGACAUUUAGUAAUGUUUGUCUUUCUUAUGUUCUAUUUUUAAUAUGUAGAGUCUAAGGUCCUAAAAUCUUCUCCAAUUCCCAUUUGUUCACUUCUCAGUUCAUGCCUCCUCAAUGAUUUGAAGCUCAUAGAAACUCUUUUAUCCCUCCUAAGGGUAAUGUUGAUGAACAUGUUCUACUUAUGGGAUCCAUAAUUGAUCUAGACAUCAAGUUCGUGAUGGUCCUAGAGUUCAACCAGUUCCCUUCAGUCUUUCUCUAGCUUCUUCAGAUGAUAUGAUGAAUGUUGAGUUUUGUCAUUAUAUUCAUAUAUUAGCAUAGUUGGUAGCUUCUAAGGUAGAGUGUGGUACUUCUGUUACUCAUCUUUCGAGUCCAUAAGGGUGGGAUAGUUUAUGAGGUUGAACCCUUUGACCUUUACUGGUGUUACGGUUGAGGAGAAUCCUUAAGGUUUUUGGGAUGAUAUGGAAAAGAUCUUUCAUAUUAUGCAUGCCACAAAUGUAGAGGCCAUGGAGUUUGCUUCCUACCAACUGAAAGAUAUGGCAUACCAGUGGCACGAGAAUGGGAUCAGUCAAGGGAUGAUGAUGUUGAGUCAGCUCUAUAGAAGGAUUUCUCUUAUGCUUUCCUGGACUGCUUAUUUUCAUAAGAUCUCAGGAAAGCAAUGAAAAAAGGGUUCGAUAAUCUGAGGCAAGGUAAGAUGUCAGUGAAGGAGUAUGCCUUGAAGUUUCUCCAGUUAUCUUGGUAUGAUCAAGAGUUAGUUUCUAGCAUGAGGGCUAGAAUGAGGAUGUUUUCUUCUGGUUUAUCUAAAGAUGUCAUUUUUUGGAGUAAGGCUAAGUUGUUGAAUAAGGACAUAGAUAUCUCUAGGUUGGUUGUGUGCUGAAGUAGGUAGAGAAAGAGAAAAAAAAGUAGGCUAAGAUAGGGAAGAAGUGGAGAAAGAACUUUUGAUUUUCUAAUUAGGGUAGUGGCUAAUAGUGGAGUGGUUGGGAGGGUGUGAAGUGUUUGAAAUAGAAGUUGAGUAAUCUAGGGUCUUACACAACGGCUAGUUCUCCCUAUCCAAAGCCAUCAGGUGAUAGGCAUUUCCAAGAUGGUGGCAACUUCAGGGCACAAGUUUCCCAAUCUCAAGCUAAUGGGUCAAAGUCAGCUCUAUUGUAUCCUCCUUGUGGGUUUUUUAGUAGAUUGCAUCGAGGUUACUUUGAAGAAGAAAGGGAUAAGUGCUUCAGUUGUGGUCAGCUAGGGCACAUAAUUAGAAACUUUCUAGUAGCCAAGGUUUCUUUGAGAGAGAACAAGGUUCUAGUUGCCUCUUCUUUAUCUCCAACACCAAAGGGUGCAUUAUCUAGUUUCAGAACUAAUUGGAAUCAUCUCUAUGCUCUUACUACUCACUUGGAAUUUGAGGUAUCUUCUGAUAUCAUGACUGGUAUUUUGAAACUCUUUUCUUAUGAUGUAUACUAUUUACUUGAUCUGGGGUCGACUCUCUCUUAUGUGACCCUAUUUGUGGAUGUGCAUAUUGGUUUUGGUCUGGAGUGUCUUUUAGACCCUUUUGUUAUUUCUACCCUGGUAGGUGACUUUAUGAUUAUUAGAAGAGUCUAUAGGAGAUGUGUGGUACCUAUAGAUGGUCGGGAGACUCUGUUUGUAUUAGAAAUAGUGGAUUUUGAUGUCAUAAUAGGGAUGGAUUUGUUGCAGUAGUACUAUGCUUCUCUAGAUUGUCAAACCCAUAAGGUUGUUAUUAAAUUCCCUAAUGAGCUAGUUAUUGAGUUGGAGGGUGGUUUCCUAGAUCCUAUAGGGAAUUUCAUAUCAUAUCUUAAGUUUCAGAGAUUAAUCUCCAAAAGGUGUCUCUAUCAUCUAGUUUGGGUUAAAGAUUCUAACUAGGAGGGUCCUUUUUUGUAUUUUGUCCUGAUGGUGAAUGAAUUUUUUUAGGCUUUCCCCGAUGUCCUUCAUGGUGCCCCUCUUGUUAAAAAGAUUGAAUUUGGGAUUUAUAUUUUCUUAGAAACUUGUCCAAUCUCAAUUCCCCCAUAUAGAAUUGCUCCAGCUGAGUUGAAGGAGCUAAAGUAGCAACUCAAGGAUCUUUUAGACAAGGGUUUCAGCCAUUCUAGUGUGUCCUCAUAGGGUGCACCUAUGUUAUUUAUAUGUAAAAAGAAGAUUCCCUUAAGAUGGGUAUUGAUUACUAGCAGUUGAAUAAGGUGACGACAAGGAUAGAUGAUUUGUUUGAUCAGCUGCACAGUGCUAAAUUUCUCUCCAAGAUUGAUCUUCGAUCCAAGUAUCAUCAGUUAAAUAUUAGGGAGGAAAAUAUCCUUAAGACAUCCUUUCAUACUUGGUAUGGGCAUUUUAAGUUCUUGGUUAAGUCUUUUAGGUUUAUAAAUGCCCGACGACAUUCAUAGAUUUGAUGAAUAAGGUCUUUCAUAAAUAUUUGGAUUUAUAUGUUAUUGUUUUAUAGAUGUCAUUCUAGUGUAUUCUAAGAGCUAAGUGGAUCAUGUUGAUCAUCUCUACCUUGUAUUGCAGACCCUAAAGGAGAAAUAGUUAUAUGCAAAAUUUUCAAAAUAUGAAUUGUUUUUUAAUGUUGUCACUUUUUUGGAACAUGUCAUUUAUAGUAAAGGCAUCAUGGUGGAUCCACAGAAAGUGGCAGAUGGUGAAGAAGUAGCCUAGACCCACGAAUCUAAUCGAUAUUCAAAGCUUCUUGGGUUUAGCUGGUUACUAUAAGAGGUUUGUAGAGAGUUUUUCUUCUAUAGCUACCCCAUUGACUAAGUUGACUCAAAAAAAGGUAAACUUUUAGUGGUUGAUACUUGUGAGAGUAGUUUUGAAAAGCCGAACAAUAAUAUAAAUUUGGCUCCAGUCUUGACUUUUCAUAAAGGCACAAAUGGAUUUAUAGUAUAUUAUGAUGCAUCUCGUGUGAGGCUUGGCUGCGUCUUGAUGCAACAUGGCAAGGUGGUAGCUUAUGUCUUUAGAAAUUUAAAGGUGCAUAAGAAGAAUUAUCCAACCCAUGACUUGGAAUUAUUAGUUGUCGUAUUCACAUUGAAAACCAGGCAUCACUAUUUGUACAAAAUGAUUAUGGAUAUCUUUUCUGAUCAUAAGAGCCUGUAUUAUGUGUUUACUCAGAAAAAGAUUAACCUCAGAAAAAGAAGAUGGCUUGAGUUUCUCAAGGACUAUGACAUAAGUCUUCACUACCACCCGAGAAUAGCUAAUAGGGUUGUUGAUACUCCUAGAAGGUUAUCCAUGGGGAAUUUUGCUCAUAUAAAUAAGAAGAAGAAGGAGUUGGUGAAAGAUAUUCACCAUUUAGCUAACCUUUGAGUUCGCCACUUAGAUUCUGAGGAGGGUGGCGUAUUUGUACAAAAGAUGGCUUAGUUGUUUCUUGGUGAUAAAAUCAAUGAGAAACAAAUAUUAGAUUCUGUCUUGAUAAGGAUUAAUGGUGAUGUAGGUGGGAAAAAGUGAUGGCCUUCGAGAGUUUGUGACAGAGGAUCUUGGCUGUGGCACAUGAGUCAUGCUAUGUUGUUCAUCCUGGUUCAAAAAAAUGGAUUAUAACCUUAAGGAUGUGUAUUGGUUGAACAAUAUAAAGCAGGAUACAGCUAGUUUUGUGUCUAAUAGCAUGGUCUGCCAGCAAGUGAAAGUUGAGCACAUGAGGCCCGAAGGAUUGUAUCAAGAGAUUGAGUUACUUUUAUGGAAGUAGGAAGUAUUUAAUGUGGAUUUCAUUAUUGAUCUUCCUCGGUCCCGAAAUUAGUUUGAUUCAGUUUGGGUUAUCGUGGAUAGGAUGACAAAGUGUGCUCACUUUUUAUCGGUGAGGACAAAAUUUCUCGGCUGAGGAUUAUGUGAAGUUGUAUCGCAUAAGAUUGUGAAGUUGCAUGGAGUACUUGUAUGUAUCAUCUUUGAUUGCGGUACACAAUUUUAAUCUCACUUUUAGAGGUCAUUUUAGAAAGGUUUUGGGACCAAAGUGAGUCUUACUACUGCUUUUCACCCUCAGUCGAUGGGAAAGCUGAAAGGACUAUUCAGACAUUAGAGGAUAUGCUUCGAGCUUGCGUGAGUGACUAUGGUGUAAUUGGAUUGAGCAUUUUUCUCUUAUAGAGUUUUCCUAUAAUAAUAGCUACCACUCUAGCAUCGGUAUGGCUUUUUAUGGUAGGAGGUGUAAUCUCCUACUGGAUGGUUUGAGGUUAGUAAAGCGGAGUUGUUUAGCCUAUAUUUUGUUCACCAAGCCAUAGAGAAGGUGAAGGUUAUUCGGUAUUUAAUUAAUGUUUCUCAAAGUUGCCAAGAGUCCUAUACGUAUUGAGGCAUAGGAAGUUGGAGUUUGAGGUUGGGGAUAGGAUAUUCUUGAAGGUAUCUCCCAUGAAGGGAGUAAUGUAAUUUGGUAAGAAGGGGCUCAGUCCCCGGUAUAUUAGUCUGUACUUAGUUCUGAGAAGGUUUGGUAAAAUUGUGUAUGAGUUGGUGUAGACUUCUAGUUUAAGCCUAUUCACCCAGUGUUCCAUGUCUCUAUGUUGAGGAAGUGUAUGGGUGAUCCUUCGCAAAUUGUGCUUAUCAAGGAUAUUGGCAUUUUAGAUUACCUGUAUUAUGAGGAGAUCCCAAUUGAGAUCUUGGAUAGGCAGAUUCGUCGAUUGUGGACCAAGGACAUAGGCUUAGUAAAGGUUCUAUGGAGGGACCACAAAGUAGAAGAGGCUACUUUGGGAAGCUGAAGAGGACAUGAAGUCCAAGUAUCCAUUCCUGUUUGUCGCAUCAAAAAUAUAUCUAAAAGUUAUGUGUCCUUCUUAACAUCUUUAUUUUCUAACUUAGUUCACGAAAAUAUUGAAUUUCUUUUAUUUUUGUUUUCUAACUUGGUUAAAGAUAAGAGUUGAGGCAUGUGGAUUCCAAAUCUUACUUUCACCACCCUUUUCCAUCAUUCGAGGCCAAAUGAUCCUAGUGGGGGGAAAUUAAAACACCUUGGUUUGUGGCCUUUGGAAGUUUUCUAAGCUAUGGCCUUACUAGUCUUGUAAUGACUCAUCAUAGGAGUCAUACGGUGUGGGUACGGUCAGGUGAACGAACUCAUAAGGUAUCCAGUAAGUGAUUGUUAGGUUUCUGUUGUGGUUAGAACUUGGUGGGUAUGGGUCGUAUUGUUUUGUGAUAGGUCAUUGGGUUUAUCCUUCACAUAAUCUAAAACUUUGUAACUUGACUUGGCUCUGAGUAUGAAAGUCUCUCUAAGAUUCAUAAGGAUAGGGUACAAGUGGUAUAGUCUAGUCAUAUGUUGUCCAGUGUCAACCCCUUUGUAUUAUCUUUUGGGUACAAUUGGACUAUACGUGUCGUAUGGUCUGGUCAUGAGUUGGGGAAUUGGAGUCUUAUGGUGGACAAUGUAUGGGUGUCUAACCUUUUGUUCUGGUUACGACUAGAUGGUACUAGUCAUAUGUUGUGGUGACUAGUUGGGGCAUCAACUCGCAUGCACCUGCGAUGAUUUUACAAUUUCAAGUUGGUGGUAUUCAGGACAUUUCUCUUAAUAACUCCUUUUGACCCCAAGACAUAUAACACCUUUUGGGACUCCAUUAACCUAUUAUUCUCAAUCAAACACUCUUAAAAAUCUCUUGAAAUCACUCUCAAGCUCUUGGUUCAAGAAAAGGAUAGGGUUUCAACAUGGUAAUCAUUUAGGGGUUUCAAGAGUGAUUCUAUUUGCCUUCCUUGGUGUCUAAGGCAUGUUACUCCUCCCUCAUAGUUAGUUCAACUAAAAGCAUGUUUUAAUGAAUAUUUUUUAUUGUAUUAAUGUGGUAUUAUUUUAUUUUUUUAUAGAUGUUAUGGGUUUUGGUUUUUUAUGGUUGGAUAAUGUUUUCUCAUCCUUUACUUAUGAUUUAUCAUGUUACAAUUAUAGUUUGAAGAUUUGGUUUCAUGGGAAUGGUUAAUUGAAACUUGGUUUUGGUUUUGGAAACUAUAUUCCCUCAACAUGUUUGCUAAAAUGGCAAUGAGAAUGAUUUUGUCACAUAGUUUGACUAUUGUUGAAACCUUUGCAUUACAUAAUAUGGGAAUGGAACUUAAAUUGGUUUGGAUGGCUUUAAAUUUAUUGGAAAGGCCUUGGUUUCCAUGGUAUUGUUUUAAUUAGAAACAUUAGGGUCGAAUUGGUUUAAUGGAUUUUGUAUAACAUAAAUGGAUAGACUUCCAAGCUCUAAUUUUUGUAUGAUCGUACCAAUGGUUAAUGCCUAAUUAUAAAGACUCCUUGGUAAAUGGUUGGUUAUAUGUGAAGAGUUUUAAUAUGGGGUUAAAGAGGGGUGUGUCAGUAAAGUCGUGGAAGGUGGAGGUCCCGCAGCUGGAAACUCAUCUUUGCCGAUGUGAUUUUUGGUGUUAGGGACCGUGUGCAUUAUGUCACACUUAUAUUUUUGGAGAUGUACUAGUCAUCUGCAAUUUUUUUCAGUUCGUGCGGCUAACACACAUCGGGCCCUUUCAGCAGGGGGAGUUGAAGCUAUAUAGCCCAUGGGUGGAUUUAGGAUGGCAAAACUACACAAUCCAGGUUAAUGGAUAUAAAUGCAUGCUAAACUCGGUUCCUUGCUUGACAUGGUAUAUAUAUAUGUAUCUAUGUGAUUGCAUAUGAUCAUUUACUUUGGUUUUGAAUAAAGGAAUUAUUUUAUCUUUAUUCCUGAGUACAUAUUAGCGUCUAUUCCUCUAAUCAUCUUUGGGAUUUGUAUCCCUGUGCUAUGUAGGAACCACCCACACUACCAUUCCUCCUGCUUAGUGACUUGGAUUUGGGGACAGCUUCGAUUCAGACUAAAGUGGUGAUCUUCCAUACUCUGAAAGGCUCCAUUUUAUGCCAUGGACUUCUUUUAUUUUUGUUAUUUCUUUGGUUUAGUUUUGGCUAUGGUCCAGGGCAUGUCCCAAAUGGAUGUUAUUGAUUCUAGCUAGAGGCUUUGUGGGACUACUAUGAUCAUGGUCAGUGUUGGUAAUAGUGUCAGCGUUGGUAUUGGUAUUGGCAUUAGGGUUGGCACCUAUUGAAUAUUCGAUUGAGGUUGUUGGAUUAUGAUCAUAGACUUUAUUUAUUGUCUUUGAG